Molecule: non-coding RNA, 103 nt
Organism: Acanthosepion pharaonis
Lineage: Eukaryota; Metazoa; Mollusca; Cephalopoda; Sepiida; Sepiidae
Source: the annotation of a GenBank genome assembly
CGGCGUUGAAACAUUUGUUCUCGUACGAUCACCAAAGUUAAGCAACGUUGAGCAUGAUCAAUACUUAGAUGGGUGACCGCUUCGGAAUACAAGGUGCUGUAUG